Molecule: unclassified non-coding RNA, 95 nt
Filed under: Moritella viscosa
Lineage: Bacteria; Pseudomonadati; Pseudomonadota; Gammaproteobacteria; Alteromonadales; Moritellaceae
Description: gcvT riboswitch element
Source: RNAcentral
UUUUUUUGCGUACUUUCACGUCUGCUUUUUGCUGUGGCUUUUGCUGUGGUUUUUUUGCUUCGUUUACCCAUCUUGAAUAAUUACAUCCUCCUCAG